UUAGAACAUAGACACGAGAAUGCAGCCAGAAACAGAGGCAGGAUUUGUUUGUCCUGCUUCACCUCAGGCGGCAGCAGGACGGAUGUCCGCUUCCUUCUUUGGGGAGCAGGCGGAUCUUGUCCAUUUGGACUUGGGAUAUGACCAGGAGUGGGAUUCUAGAGUGAGCAGUACCCUCAAGUCCCCAGAAGGGCUGGUCAGAUGGAAAGAAUUUAAGAGAGGUAAGAGAAAGCAAGAGAUAGGUGUUAUGUGGGAAAAGAGAGGCACAGCAACUGUUUUUGCUGAUUAUGCAAACUGAUAGUAGAUACGUGAGGUUGGUCCUGCCACAGGGUAGGUGUUCAGUAAAGAGUCUAUGGGCGAGGUCUGCUAAUGGAAACUGGGGGUGGGCAGAGAAGUAGGUGUUGAAAGAUGGAAGUCGCCCAAGUCUCCCCCUGAAUCUUCUUUCUGUGGAGUUGUACAGACUGUCAUGGCUGGAACAGGAGAGAAUGGAGUCCCAGCAACCACUUCCUGAUGUUCUGAGUUGAAACUUGGACUUUCUGUUUUAAUUUCAAAAGCAGAGUUGAAUGUGGUGAUGAGAUUUCAUGGUACUCCUAGUGCACCGCUGUACUCCAGGCACAAAAUGAGUUAAGGAAGCAUUCUGGGGGUUGGCUUAGAAUCUAACCACAAUGUUUCUAUGGCAAAUUGACUACUAAUUUGCCAAUAGUCAACUUAGAAAUGCCUUUUAGAAUCAAAACAUAUUCACUGAGGGCUAACUGAACUAGCUAUUUCAGAUUUUGCAUAAAACUCAAAUGGCUCGAACUUUUCUGAAUUAGGGCCUUCAAAGAAAGUAGAUGGAAUACAUCCUAUUCCAACAGGCUUGACCUCAUUACAGGUUGGUUUGCCCAUAGGGAACGAGGCAAUAAAGUCUGAUACUCUGGUGGUACUAACACCCUCUGGAUGUUUGUAGAAGGAGCAACUGUGGGCCAAGUGAAUAAGAAAAGAGGAAGUUCCCGAACCACUUGCAAAGGGUUGAGGCUGAGGAACAGAUGUCUCUGGGCUGCCCAGAGUCUGCCACAUGGCCCAGCAGUGCUACCGCUGUUGAAACCCCAAGUCUACAACUCAGGGUGGUCUGGAAGUGAAGGAUUGCUUUCCUGAGAGUGGUUUCAAGAAUGUAGCUCCUCACCUAAUAAAAAGAAUGUGCAAUGAUUAGCCCGGUCUAAUAUUAGCAUCUGCAAAAUAAAAAGCAAUGGGGCCUGCCAUGAAAGAGAACAAACUUUGCACGCACCCACUGCCAGGUAAAAUCUGUUCUUUUUCAGCCAUAAAUCUUUCUUGGAAGCCUGAGGAGAAUUUCACCUCUGUCAGAAACAGAAACCAAAGAGGAAAAACAUGCUGUUUUGGAGAAGAAAGCACCUUGAGUUUAAAGCUCUUGUUCUUUUCUGUCUCUUUUGCUGGUUUCUUUCUAAUGGUGCCCUUGACUUGGUUAUACCUUGCAUUGUUUUCCAUAGGAUGGGGCAGCAGCGGGAAAAGGUCAGGAUGGGCCAUUUGCUUCUGGCUUUAGCUUUAGUCAGAGAACUAGUAUCUGACAUGGAAUCUCACUGUUAUCCAAGGUAUGCCCUUGGUUAAACUUUUUUGAACACCAAACCUUUGAUAACUGUGGAGGCUAUAUUAAUAGAUUUUAUGGUUUUCCUAAACUCAAGAAACCACUAAGUGAGAGGCAAAAGUUGAACUGACUUGUUCAUCACACUAGGUUACCAGAGAUUCAAAUUAGUAGUAGCCACUUUAUUUAUAUUAUUUAAUUCGUCUUCAUAAGGUCCUUUGAUGUAGGGCAGUGGUUCUCAAAGUAUGGUGUUCACAAUAUCAGUGUCACCCGAGAACUUGCUAGAAAUGCAUGUCCUUGGGUCCCACUCCAGACUUACUGGGCCAGCAAUCUGUGUUUUAGCAAGUCCUCUGAGUGUUUCAGAUGAAUACUAAGGUUUGGAAAACACUGAUGUAGGAGGAAUUAUCACCACGGAAUUUAUUAUAUACUAUCAUAUAUUGGAUCUUUGAAGUCCCUUCGAGCUAAAACUUUCCAUGUUAAAUUCUAGAUUUCCCAGGAUCUUCAGUACCAUGAUCACUGAAUGUUCUCUAUAGAUGCUGCAUCUCUGAGGAAGUAGUCAUCCUGUACUUUCCUUCCUCCUUCUCUCCCUUCUUUCCUUCUCCUUCCCUUUUUUUUUUUUUUUCCCUGGGCUGUGUCACUUUAGGCAAUAUUCUCUUCCCCUGUACCUAUAUUUUAGAUAGAGCCAACAAUCAAGUAGAUCUUAUCUCACCUAUCCUUUGGUAGGCUACUUAACCCAGGCUGGCCAAUCAAAGUACUCUGUUCCCUGGACAUAGUGAUUGGUCCAGAGGUCCCAGCAGAGCCAUAGAAUCUUUGGGGUGGAGGAGAUCGACAUGAAGUCUACGAAGAGAGACUCUCCCUAUUCCUGACUUUGUGAGCACCAGGAAACCUGGUGCUCCUGGUGCUCACAGGUGAACUUGGAACUUCUGGGAGGUACUUUUGCUCCCAUAUGGAGCAGCCUGGGAGUGAAGCCAACUCCAAGAAGGCAAAGCCGUUUUGGAGGGAGAGAGGGCUGGGAGCUGAUGUCAUCUUUUGAAUCUAGAGCUUCACCAUGCCCUGAAGCCAGAGUCUGCUCUCUCCUUGGACUUCAUAUUCAAUUUAACAUUCUCUGUGAAUACCUUACCCUUAGAUCCUGGGGACACUUACAUCAAUGUUUUCUUCAUUAUUACAAAAAUAAGAAAUACAAAUCUUACCUUAGUAGAGCUGUGUCACGUAGAAAGUCAAAGUGCCUGUGAUGACCCUCACAUGCUUGGAAAUCACUAUACUCUAUGGUUUUAUGCAUAUUCCUUUAGAUUUUUCUCUCAACAUACUAUUGAAGUGGGAUGUUGAGAGUUUUCUUGAAGUCUCAGUUUUUCUAGAGGUCCAUAAAUCGAGUGUAAGACAACAGGUGUGAAUGCCUAUAUUCUAGAAUGAGCUUAUCAGACUUGCAAAGUGAGUGACCCAGAUCUGCUAUUAUUAAGCUCAUGUAAGACGUAAUUUAUUUAUUUUCAAAAACGCUCUAAGUAAUGAGGAGACUGACAAGGUUAAUAGAGGCACAUCUCUGGAUAAGAUUUUCAGCAUGACGGCGAUAACCCCCAUCCUGUGGUGGGGGCAGAGAACACUCCCUUUCAUCCUAAGCCAAGUGGGGGAGGGGCCGUCAAGAAAUUUGUGGGAUGUGGUACUUGGCACCUCAUCAUCUCUCAUUCUUACUUUCAGGGCAGCAGAGGGAAGAGCAAGACUGAACUCAUAAUUUGAUUUGAUUUGACUUGAUUUCCUCUCUGACUGUCUGCCAACUGUUUCUAAUUUGGAACCGUUGCAAAAUGUGAAGUCAUUCAGCCGAAUGCAUCUAUUUGGUUUGGGUGACACUUGAGAAACCUUCCUCUGUCACAUCCAAUCAUGCAUUUCCCCUUCAAACCCAUGACCUUUCUUUUCUACUCUCCUGUCAUUGCCCCCAUUCUGGGUUAUCUCUACUUAGCAGAGCACAAAUGGGGUUAUCAUCGUGUGGAGUGAUUUGGUGGGACCAGUUGCAUGUACAGUGACUUUAGUAACGAGUGCACAGACAGUGGAAGUCUUUGGAGUAAUUUCCAGAUCUACAUUCCAGUUAAUGUCAGAACUUUCGGGAACGAUAAUUAUUUUUCUGGCCUCUAUAUACCUCCCUUUCCAUCCUCAGUUUCUUCUCCCUGAAUGCAAAUGAACUGCACUGUAUAAAGUUUUGAAUUCUGCCUCUAAUAUCUCCCCUUACCGACUUCCCUCUUUCCUAAGCAUGUAUGCUUUAAGUUCUACUCCCUUUUAAGUAUUGAAAGACCACUAUUUAUAACAACCAUUUAUCAACUUUGAAUAAGUACAUUUUUUUAUUUCUGCCUCAUAAUAUCCCUGUGAGGUAUUACCGUCUCCAUUUUGAAAAGAGGAAAAUGGAGGCUCAGAGAGACUGAAUGAUUUGCCCUGCAACACACAGCAAGUUAGUAGUGGAAGGAGGACCAAAACACAGAUUUUCCUUACAACACUAUCACCUAGCUACCUACUCUCUGAAGCCACAGAAUUAUACUCUAUCCACCAGCUUCUGCUCUUUCUCUCUUCUCUUUAAUUCCAUCAUUUCCCUUUACGCUCCCUAGAGUUUCCGGAAACUCUUUCAGAAGUUUCUAGGAGAGGAAGUUAUAUUUCAAGUAGUCUAACCCUGGUCAGACUGAGGGCUGCUGGCCUACAAAGGAAUUUGGCGGGGGGGGGGGAAUUGCUUCUAGAGUGAUCAAUCCAACUUGAAUAUUUGAGACUUCUGUUCAAUUAACUUUUCUUCAGAAGUGUUUUCUUUUUUUAAAGGAAAAAUGUUUCCCUCUGAACAGAACAGAGUUGAAAUUCCCAUUUAUGGGAUGGAGGAGAUUUCUUUGAAAAAAUAAGAAUUUUCUAAAAAACAAGAACUUGAGCAAAAAUUAAAAAUAUGUUGGUAAAUUAAGAUAUUCACUCAAAAAAAUCACUGUUUCAUUACCACCCUGUAUAUGUUUAUAACAUAUUUACUUUCCUUUUCCCAUAUUACUCUUGGCACUAGCAUCUUUAACGAAAUCUCUGUCCUAUGUAAUUGUUUUUUCGGUAACCUUUCAGUUAAAAAGAGAAAAAAGGAUGACUGAAUUAACAUUGCUCAUUUGGGAGUUCCUGUCCUGGUGCAGCGGAAACGAAUUCGACUAGGAACCAUGAGGUUGCAGGUUCGAUCCCUGGCCUCGCUCAGUGGGUUAAGGAUUCGGUGUUGCUGUGAGCUGUGGUGUAGGUGGCAGACACAGCUUGGAUCCUGCAUUGCUGUGGCUGUGGUGUAGGCUGGCAGCUACACCUCCAAUUAGGCCCCUAGCUUGGGAACCUCCAUAUGCCGUGGGU
Molecule: long non-coding RNA, 4909 nt
Filed under: Sus scrofa (pig)
Lineage: Eukaryota; Metazoa; Chordata; Mammalia; Artiodactyla; Suidae
Description: lncRNA (ENSSSCG00000059666.1)
Source: RNAcentral